Molecule: ribosomal RNA, 445 nt
Filed under: uncultured bacterium
Lineage: Bacteria
Description: bacterial SSU rRNA
Rfam family: Bacterial small subunit ribosomal RNA
Source: RNAcentral
AACGAACGCUGGCGGCAUGCCUAACACAUGCAAGUCGAACGCUCCGCAAGGGGAGUGGCGAACGGGUGAGUAACGCGUGGGAACCUGCCCAGUAGUUGGGGAUAACCGCGGGAAACUGCGGCUAAUACCGAAUACGCCCUAAGGGGGAAAGAUUUAUCGCUAUUGGAGGGGCCCGCGUCGGAUUAGCUGGUUGGUGAGGUAACGGCUCACCAAGGCGACGAUCCGUAGCUGGUCUGAGAGGAUGAUCAGCCACACUGGGACUUAGACACGGCCCAGACUCCUACGGGAGGCAGCAGUGGGGAAUAUUGGACAAUGGGGGCAACCCUGAUCCAGCAAUGCCGCGUGAGUGAUGAAGGCCUUAGGGUUGUAAAGCUCUUUUACCGGGGACGAUGAUGACGGUACCCGGAGAAUAAGCCCCGGCUAACUUCGUGCCAGCCGCCGCAGU